Molecule: long non-coding RNA, 567 nt
Organism: Zingiber officinale
Lineage: Eukaryota; Viridiplantae; Streptophyta; Magnoliopsida; Zingiberales; Zingiberaceae
Exons: 4
Source: RefSeq, a predicted model, not a curated record
GCCUCACAUGCCAUCCUGAUGUCGAGUUUGUGGACAAAGAAGCAGUCGCAGUUACCAGUGUGUCUCGGAAGGCAACUUUCUACAAUGGACCAAGCUCUACGGACUUCAUAAAUGUCCAUGACAUUUUUCUUGAAUGUGAUCAUGAUUCAAUCAUAUACCUUGGGAAGUCUGUUGAACCAACAAUAUAUGAUCUUUUGGGUGAUCAAGAGGUUGAAAUCUGCUUGUUGAAAAAUGGAAAACCAUCAUGGACGAAGAAGUUUCUUUGCUCCAAAGUCAGGUUGUUGUGUCUUAAGACUGGCUCGAGGUGACAAAAUAUGCUGGAUUGGUCUGUGCUUAGGCCCGUCAAGAAUUAAUUCAAGAUAUGUUUAAGGUCUGGCAAGAUUCUCAGCAAGGAACUCUUACUGGUGGCAUGAUAAAGUAUGAAAAUGCAAUCCUACAUGACAUGAACCACCAUCACAAGUUUCUAGUCUUUUGGCUAUUGUUCAUUAGUUGCAAAUGGAGUUUAUUUGUUUAUUUGUAUUGGGAUAAAUUUUAUUUGAAUAUGAGACAUGUUUUUUCUUUUGUGAU